Molecule: non-coding RNA, 27 nt
Filed under: Homo sapiens (human)
Lineage: Eukaryota; Metazoa; Chordata; Mammalia; Primates; Hominidae
Source: RNAcentral
CCUGGAUGGAAAAGGUGAUGAAAAUAA